CUGCUACUUCUGCGAUUUCUGUGACUUCUGCGAUUUCUGUGAUUCCUGCGAUUUCUGCGACUUACCACCGUAUGAGAAAGUUACAUCUGUCAACACAGAAAAUUGCAUCUCAACAAACCUGUCUUUGGCAAGUACCUGAACUACAUUUCAGUCACUCAGUAAAGUGAUAACUCAAAAUAUCAUUGUCAACAGAUCUGAAGAAAUUGCCACUGUGUCUUUAGACCAUUUUCGUCAGACGAGAGGCACAGUUCUGACUCUGAUUACUGGUUGCUGUACGUAUCUAUCCACAUCAAGGCUGUUUUUGAGAGAGACUCGUGAAGAUUCAAG
Molecule: long non-coding RNA, 327 nt
Organism: Schistocerca cancellata (South American locust)
Lineage: Eukaryota; Metazoa; Arthropoda; Insecta; Orthoptera; Acrididae
Exons: 3
Source: RefSeq, a predicted model, not a curated record